This is a long non-coding RNA of Sinocyclocheilus grahami, 984 nucleotides long. RefSeq lists it as uncharacterized. The transcript has 3 exons. Lineage: Eukaryota; Metazoa; Chordata; Actinopteri; Cypriniformes; Cyprinidae. The record is from RefSeq and is a predicted model, not a curated record.
GGAACGACGUGAGGGUGAGUAAAUGAUGAUUUUUGGGUGAACUGUCCCUUUAAUGGUCCUAAAAUAUAUCCAUUACGCAAGUGUAAUUUCUUAGUCAUUUUGACUUUGGGAUGAAAUGUGACGUGUUUUUGGAGAUUGCCCCAUCCAAACCAGACCCAAGGUGUUUAUUAGCAAUAGUCUUGAAGGGCUUAUGGGAGCAGGAACGGAGGUAGAACCCAGAUUCCCCUAAACAUCCGCACUAACACCGUCACAUUUGACCCUUAACCUUUCAUCGAGUGGUGCCGUUUUGUGCAGGUGGUUUGGUGUCGUCGUGAUGCAGAUGUCGACCUUUUUCUUUCUGGUUGUUCCCUCUUAUGGAGACUCAAAAUAAUGAUUUGAAGUGCUGUGCUGCUGAGCGCAGUGCCGUUUCUGACCGCUAGAUGGAGACACUGUCAAGCGCUUCACUAACACUGUCCGCUUUCAUGAAGAAGCUUGAUAUAGGAGGCGAGCUUUGCCAAAAACGGCGUUACUAUGCAAUCCCCCGUUCGCGACCAAUAGAACAACAGAAUGCGUAAUGAAGAGAGGAGCAGAGGGAGUUUUGGAGGAGGGGUCUCCGUGCGUAAAUGAAAGAGCCGGAGGGACAAAGACAUGCAGCAUGCAACAGGACUCCGAGAGCAGAAAACACACUCCAAAUAACAUGCAAACGCAGAAGGAUUCUUGUGCAUUAAGAGGAUAAACAUUUGAAAUGCACUCAGGAUGCAACCGGAUAGCAGCAAACUGAGCUGAUCGCACGGAUAACUGCUGAACUUUCAGUCUGAAAAGCUUCAUUGUUGAGUAAAUGCAUGCUGACGCACCAUGUUGUGCUUUCAUGGAUUGAUGCAAGCAUGCACCUAAUCUGAGUUCGCAGGCAAAAUGGAGAGCAGCAUCGUUCCCGUCGCAUUUCUCUCGCUUGCGAUGAUGCUGGAUGCGCAGAUGGUUUGCUGGCAGGCGCUGAUGCGAUGUCAC